Molecule: ribosomal RNA, 253 nt
Filed under: uncultured bacterium
Lineage: Bacteria
Description: partial 16S ribosomal RNA
Rfam family: Bacterial small subunit ribosomal RNA
Source: RNAcentral
UACAGAGGUCCCAAGCGUUGUUCGGAUUCACUGGGCGUAAAGGGUGCGUAGGUGGCGGGGUAAGUCAGGUGUGAAAUUUCGGAGCUUAACUCCGAAACUGCAUUUGAUACUGCCUUGCUUGAGGACUGGAGAGGAGACUGGAAUUCACGGUGUAGCAGUGAAAUGCGUAGAGAUCGUGAGGAAGACCAGUGGCGAAGGCGGGUCUCUGGACAGUUCCUGACACUGAGGCACGAAGGCCAGGGGAGCAAACGGG